Molecule: ribosomal RNA, 253 nt
Filed under: uncultured bacterium
Lineage: Bacteria
Description: partial 16S ribosomal RNA
Rfam family: Bacterial small subunit ribosomal RNA
Source: RNAcentral
UACGUAGGGUGCAAGCGUUAAUCGGAAUUACUGGGCGUAAAGCGUGCGCAGGCGGUUUUGUAAGUCUGUUGUGAAAUCCCCGGGCUUAACCUGGGAAUGGCAAUGGAGACUGCAAGGCUGGAAUCUGGCAGAGGGGGGUAGAAUUCCACGUGUAGCAGUGAAAUGCGUAGAGAUGUGGAGGAACACCGAUGGCGAAGGCAGCCCCCUGGGCUAAGAUUGACGCUCAUGCACGAAAGCGUGGGGAGCAAACAGG